AUGGCAACUGAGCAGCCCCAGAAAGUGGAAAUUGAGACGCCGGCUGUACCUGCUCCGGCGCCCGAGAAAGUUGUUUCACUUCCUCCAGCUGAGGAGGAGAAGCCUGUGCUUCCUCCUGCUGAUGAUGCCAAAGCUCUCGCUGUUGUUGAAAGUAAUCUCUCCCUCUCUCUCCCCCCCCCCUCUCCCUCUCCUCUCCCUCUCUCUCUCUCUCUCUCUCUCUCUCUCUCUCACACACACACACACACACACGCGCACACACACAGGUGUUUGUUAAAAGAAUCAAGAUUUGGAUAAAAUUAAGUAUAAACGAGAGCGACCUUUUGUGUUUGCCGUUAUGCCUAUAAAUAUCUUAGAAUUCUGUGGUUUUCUUGGGUCUUAAAAGUAUAUUGUAUAUUAUAUAAUUGAUUCAAGUAGUAGCUAUCCUGAUUUUAGUACUUGCCCUUAUUUUUAUAUCAAGAAUCUUAUUUUCACACUUUUACUUGCAGGAUGCUGUGAAUUUAUGUUUCUAGUUAGAAUUUUGGAGAUUCUACUAGGGUUUGGCCUUUCUUCUUUGGCUACUAAAUAUUUUUUAAAAUAUAAUGUUUGAUUAAAGUCUAUAUAUCUAUAUUAUGAGCAAGAAUGUUGCUUCUGUUCUGCUUUUAGAUUUCAGUUUCAGUGCUAGUUAAUUAGAGAAUCUUGCUUCCUAAUUUCAAUGAUACCUUUCUCAGUUAUAAUUUGCUUGUUAGUUUCCUUUAUGCAAAUUGAAGCUAACAAUCGCCAAGCAUGAAGUACAACGAAGUGUAUGACUCUAUGUUUCUCAACAUCGCAUGUGGAAUUUGAUUCAUGAUUAUUGCACAUCACAAGCAAAACAUGGUUCACAAGUUGACCAAGACUGUAUUGUAGCUUUUGCAAUUGCUUGUAUAUAUGUAUUCUACCCUUUCGAUUCAUUUUGGGGUGUUCUGCGUCACAGCAAACCAUUUCUGAGCUGAGUUGUUGUUCUCUACAGCUUUAGUUGUGUUGAUGUUUUAAAUACAUAGAACUCAUAUGAUAGGUUAAUAGAAGCACUUGAUUUGUUCUCAUUCAGAAGUAGCAAUUAAAUUCUAGUUAAUUGUUGUGUACUUGUGCUACAUGUGUUUGAUAUUGUGCUUAGUAAAAUCUAAUGGUCAUGUUCAUCAUCUCUGCCAGAGAUUCCAGAUUCUGCUGAAAAGAAAGCUCCCGUAGAACCUCAUGAUCGAGGUGGGUGUCUUACUAAUAAAUUUUUACUCUUUCCUGGACUAAAUGACUUGAUGACAUGCAGUAGAAUGAACAAUUUAAUAAUCAAUUGCUAGUAUUUUUACUGAUGCUGACCAUCACUUUAUUACUACUUUUUUACUUCAGAUGUUGCUCUUGCGGAUCUCGAAAAAGAGAAGAGGUUGUCCUUUAUCAAGGCCUGGGAGGAGAGUGAAAAAUCUAAAGUUGAGAAUAAGUAAGGAUAUUUCCAGCCCAUCUUGUUGAUCUCUAAAUGUUUUUAAAAGAAAGUUAGCUUGAGUAUACUGCAGGAACUUGUGUCUUAUUUAGGCUUUUAGCUAAUGAAGAUAUGAAAACUUAGCCAUGUAAAUACUCUUUUUUGUUCUGUGAUUUUUUUGCUUGAUGUUAAAUGCUUCCUUAAAAUUUGCUAAUAUAAGCUCGUUGAACAGGACACAAAAGCAACUCGCUGCAGUCAAUUCAUGGGAGAACACCCAGAAAGCCAAAAUUGAAGCUAAAAUCAAAAAGAUAGAGGUAAGUGAGACGCGUGAUCUACCUUGCCGUUCUUUAAUAUUAAUAUAUCAGAGACAUACUAUGAUAUUUACUGCUAUUAACGUAAUUCAAUAUGCAACUACAUUCUUCUUAUGAGGUAUGCAAUAUUUGUUCAAACUAAGCUAAUUUGAAAAUGACAAGAUAGUUUUCAUGCAUUAGUGUCCUGCAAGCUUUAGCUACAGAAUUCUAGCAAGACUUGAACCCUGGGCAUUGAGACCAUUAUAUUGGUCACCCCUGGAUCAUUGGGAACUUUUGUCUCAUUUGCACCUCAACCAAAAGAGUUUUUAUAUGAAAUGAUAAUUUAAAAGUGCCUCUUUUAGCUUCCAUGUCUUUCCUGUCACCUCUACAAUGUUCUUGUGCUAAUUUUUCAUGAAAAACAAGAAAGUUUGAAGCUCACCGGUUAAAAAUAUUAUUAUAUUAUUAUAUUUGUGACACAGCAUAUGUACCACUAAAAUUUUAUGAAUAGUAUAUUUGUGUUCAUCCGUGAAGCUGAUAUAUUUAGAUAUGAGCAGGAAGACCUUGAGAAGAAGAAAGCAGCCUAUGCAGAACAAAUGAAAAACAAGACAGCUAUGGUUCACAAGGCAGCAGAAGAAAAGCGAGCCAUGGUUGAAGCCAAACGAGGAGAAGAUUUAUUAAAAGCAGAGGAG
Molecule: long non-coding RNA, 2402 nt
Filed under: Daucus carota (carrot)
Lineage: Eukaryota; Viridiplantae; Streptophyta; Magnoliopsida; Apiales; Apiaceae
Description: long non-coding RNA (DCAR_LNC001407)
Source: RNAcentral